GAUGAACGCUGGCGGCGUGCCUAAUACAUGCAAGUCGAGCGAACAGACGAGGAGCUUGCUCCUCUGACGUUAGCGGCGGACGGGUGAGUAACACGUGGAUAACCUACCUAUAAGACUGGGAUAACUUCGGGAAACCGGCGCUAAUACCGGAUAAUCUAUUGAACCGCAUGGUUCAAUAGUGAAAGACGGUUUUGCUGUCACUUAUAGAUGGAUCCGCGCCGCAUUAGCUAGUUGGUAAGGUAACGGCUUACCAAGGCAACGAUGCGUAGCCGACCUGAGAGGGUGAUCGGCCACACUGGAACUGAGACACGGUCCAGACUCCUACGGGAGGCAGCAGUAGGGAAUCUUCCGCAAUGGGCGAAAGCCUGACGGAGCAACGCCGCGUGAGUGAUGAAGGUCUUCGGAUCGUAAAACUCUGUUAUUAGGGAAGAACAAAUGUGUAAGUAACUAUGCACGUCUUGACGGUACCUAAUCAGAAAGCCACGGCUAACUACGUG
This 497-nucleotide ribosomal RNA is filed under the name uncultured bacterium. Its description in RNAcentral is "partial 16S ribosomal RNA". It matches the Rfam family "Bacterial small subunit ribosomal RNA", at positions 28 to 507 of the family's 1533-position model. The record is from RNAcentral.